UACGAAGGGGGCUAGCGUUGUUCGGAAUUACUGGGCGUAAAGGGCGCGUAGGCGGUGUGUCAAGUCAGGCGUGAAAGCCCCGGGCUCAACCUGGGAACAGCGCUUGAGACUGGCACGCUCGAGUUCGGGAGAGGAUGGUGGAAUUCCCAGUGUAGAGGUGAAAUUCGUAGAUAUCAGGAGGAACACCGGUGGCGAAAGCGGCUCCCUGGCCCGAUACUGACGCUCAUGUACGAAAGCGUGGGGAGCAAACAGG
Molecule: ribosomal RNA, 253 nt
Filed under: uncultured bacterium
Lineage: Bacteria
Description: partial 16S ribosomal RNA
Rfam family: Bacterial small subunit ribosomal RNA
Source: RNAcentral